This 387-nucleotide ribosomal RNA is filed under the name Triticum aestivum (bread wheat). RNAcentral describes it as "partial small subunit ribosomal RNA". Lineage: Eukaryota; Viridiplantae; Streptophyta; Magnoliopsida; Poales; Poaceae. The record is from RNAcentral.
AUGUGGAUCGCACUAGUACUAUUUCAGUAUUUCUUGCUUGCUUGUUUGCUUCUUCUUUCUCCUGAAGCAGGCGAGCUGAUUUUCUGCUUUUGGUUUCUGCAGCAAUUGGAGGAGGAGUUGGUGUCGAGGACUGGACCGGAUGUGCCUUCAUGCAUGAUCUACAGCGCCCUUGAUCUCAGGACCAUGAGCGGAGGCUGGAGCAGAUCUAAAGGGCGUUCUAGGGCCUCGAGGGCUCCCACGUCUAUCCCUUCCAGUAUGCUUCGACGGGAGCAUCUGCGGAGAGGGUUAGGGAGUGGGUCUCAGAGCUGGCUCAUCCACUUGGAGGUACGCACCUUGUUAAAUCUAGGUGCAACUUAUCAUCAGAUUUUCUUUGAAACUUGGCGUUGA